UUAUGGAUAGCUCACGGGUAGAGCAGCGAAUUCUUAAUUCGUCGGUCGCAGGUUCGACUCCUGCUCCAUAAGCCA
This 75-nucleotide transfer RNA is filed under the name Ottowia testudinis. RNAcentral describes it as "Ottowia sp. 27C tRNA-Lys". It matches the Rfam family "tRNA". Rfam says of the family: Transfer RNA (tRNA) molecules are approximately 80 nucleotides in length. Their secondary structure includes four short double-helical elements and three loops (D, anti-codon, and T loops). The record is from RNAcentral. Lineage: Bacteria; Pseudomonadati; Pseudomonadota; Betaproteobacteria; Burkholderiales; Comamonadaceae.